GCCCUCGUAGCUUAAUUGGAUAAAGCAGGGCCCCUCUAAGGCCAAGAGUGGCUGUUCGAGUCAGCCCGAGGGCA
RNAcentral lists this transfer RNA (74 nucleotides) under bacterium (Candidatus Gribaldobacteria) CG_4_10_14_0_2_um_filter_33_15. RNAcentral's name for it is "tRNA-Arg". It matches the Rfam family "tRNA". Rfam says of the family: Transfer RNA (tRNA) molecules are approximately 80 nucleotides in length. Their secondary structure includes four short double-helical elements and three loops (D, anti-codon, and T loops). RNAcentral also lists the same sequence under 3 other names. Lineage: Bacteria; Candidatus Gribaldobacteria. The record is from RNAcentral.